AGGGUGUAAACGCUGCGGGCUUGGUGUUGGGGGUCCUUUGAGGGCGCCCAGUGCCGGAGAGAAGUUGUUAAGCCUGCUGCUUGGGGAGUACGUCCGCAAGGAUGAAACUUAAAGGAAUUGGCGGGGGAGCACCGCAACGGGAGGAGCGUGCGGUUCAAUUGGAUUCAACACCGUAAAACUCACCAGGGAAGACUGUUACAUGAAGGCCGAGAUGAAGACUCUGCUAGAUUUUCAGAGAGGAGGUGCAUGGCGUCAGUGACU
This 261-nucleotide ribosomal RNA is filed under the name uncultured archaeon. RNAcentral's name for it is "partial 16S ribosomal RNA". It matches the Rfam family "Archaeal small subunit ribosomal RNA", at positions 748 to 1008 of the family's 1478-position model. The record is from RNAcentral.